UUAAGUUCAGCGGGUAUUCCUACCUGAUCCGAGGUCAACCUUGUAAAUAUGGGGUUUAGUGGCUAGAAGCCUCCCAGACAUCCGAGGCGUCGCAUCUCUACUGCGCCCGGAGUCUCGGAGAGUCCGCCAAUAUCAUUGAGAGCCUACGGCGGGACCGUAGAGCUCCAACACCAAGCAGGGCUUGAGGGUUGAAAUGACGC
RNAcentral lists this unclassified non-coding RNA (200 nucleotides) under Sordariales sp. RNAcentral's name for it is "partial internal transcribed spacer 2". The record is from RNAcentral. Lineage: Eukaryota; Fungi; Ascomycota; Sordariomycetes; Sordariales.